RNAcentral lists this ribosomal RNA (253 nucleotides) under uncultured bacterium. RNAcentral describes it as "partial 16S ribosomal RNA". It matches the Rfam family "Bacterial small subunit ribosomal RNA", at positions 524 to 776 of the family's 1533-position model. The record is from RNAcentral.
UACGUAGGGUGCAAGCGUUGUCCGGAAUUACUGGGCGUAAAGAGCUCGUAGGUGGUUUGUCGCGUUGUUCGUGAAAACUCACAGCUCAACUGUGGGCGUGCGGGCGAUACGGGCAGACUAGAGUACUGCAGGGGAGACUGGAAUUCCUGGUGUAGCGGUGGAAUGCGCAGAUAUCAGGAGGAACACCGGUGGCGAAGGCGGGUCUCUGGGCAGUAACUGACGCUGAGGCACGAAGGCCAGGGGAGCAAACGGG